UGGUGGAGCGAUUUGUCUGGUCGAUUCCGAUAACGAACGAGACUCUAGCCUACUAAAUAGUUCGGGGACCCCCACAAUGGGGCCCCGCUUCAACUUCUUAGAGGGACAGGUGGCGUUUAGCCACACGAGAUUGAGCAAUAACA
Molecule: ribosomal RNA, 143 nt
Filed under: uncultured eukaryote
Lineage: Eukaryota
Description: partial 18S ribosomal RNA
Rfam family: Eukaryotic small subunit ribosomal RNA
Source: RNAcentral